Molecule: ribosomal RNA, 434 nt
Filed under: uncultured Lachnospiraceae bacterium
Lineage: Bacteria; Bacillati; Bacillota; Clostridia; Lachnospirales; Lachnospiraceae
Description: bacterial SSU rRNA
Rfam family: Bacterial small subunit ribosomal RNA
Source: RNAcentral
ACGGGAGGCAGCAGUGGGGAAUAUUGGUCAAUGGGGGAAACCCUGAACCAGCGACGCCGCGUGAGUGAAGAAGUAUUUCGGUAUGUAAAGCUCUAUCAGCAGGGACGAUAAUGACGGUACCUGACUAAGAAGCCCCGGCUAACUACGUGCCAGCAGCCGCGGUAAUACGUAUGGGGCAAGCGUUAUCCGGAUUUACUGGGUGUAAAGGGAGCGUAGGUGGCCAUGCAAGUCAGAUGUGAAAACCCGGGGCUCAACCCCGUGACUGCAUUUGAAACUGCGUGGCUGGAGUACAGGAGAGGUAAGCGGAAUUCCUAGUGGAGCGGUGAAAUGCGUAGAUAUUAGGAGGAACACCAGUGGCGAAAGCGGCUUACUGGACUGAAACUGACACUGAGGCUCGAAAGCGUGGGGAGCAAACAGGAUUAGAUACCCUGGUA